GAUGAACGCUGGCGGCGUGCUUAACACAUGCAAGUCGAACGAAGCGUAUUCAAGUGAAGUUUUCGGACAAAGCGAGGAUAUGACUUAGUGGCGGACGGGUGAGUAACGCGUGGGCAACCUGCCUUUCACAGCGGGAUAACAGAGGGAAGCUUCUGCUAAUACCGCAUAUACCUUUAUAACGCAUGUUAGGGAGGGGAAAGAAUUAUCGGUGAGAGAUGGGCCCGCGUCCGAUUAGAUAGUUGGUGGGGUAACAGCCUACCAAGUCGACGAUCGGUAGCCGGCUUGAGAGAGUGAACGGCCACAUUGGGACUGAGACACGGCCCAAACUCCUACGGGAGGCAGCAGUGGGGGAUAUUGGACAAUGGGGGCAACCCUGAUCCAGCGACGCCGCGUGAGUGAAGAAGUAUUUCGGUACGUAAAGCUCUAUCAGCAGGGAAGAAAGAAGACGGUACCUGACUAAGAAGCCCCGGCUAACUACGUGCCAGCAGCCGCGGUAAUACGUAGGGGGCAAGCGUUAUCCGGAAUUACUGGGUGUAAAGGGAGCGUAGACGGUUAAACAAGUCUGAAGUGAAAUGCCGGGGCUCAACCUCGGAGCUGCUUUGGAAACUGUAGAACUGGAGUGUCGGAGGGGUAAGCGGAAUUCCCAGUGUAGCGGUGAAAUGCGUAGAUAUUGGGAGGAACACCGGCGGCGAAGGCGGCUUACUGGACGACGACUGACGUUGAGGCUCGAAGGCGUGGGUAGCAAACAGG
RNAcentral lists this ribosomal RNA (750 nucleotides) under uncultured Lachnospiraceae bacterium. Its description in RNAcentral is "bacterial SSU rRNA". It matches the Rfam family "Bacterial small subunit ribosomal RNA", at positions 28 to 776 of the family's 1533-position model. Lineage: Bacteria; Bacillati; Bacillota; Clostridia; Lachnospirales; Lachnospiraceae. The record is from RNAcentral.